This 300-nucleotide ribosomal RNA is filed under the name uncultured Spirochaeta sp. Its description in RNAcentral is "bacterial SSU rRNA". It matches the Rfam family "Bacterial small subunit ribosomal RNA", at positions 115 to 411 of the family's 1533-position model. The record is from RNAcentral. Lineage: Bacteria; Pseudomonadati; Spirochaetota; Spirochaetia; Spirochaetales; Spirochaetaceae.
GCGUAGAUGAUCUGCCUUUCGGUUGGGGAUAGCCCAUGGAAACAUGGGGUAAUACCGAAUAAGAUCCUUUUGCUUUGGCGAGAGGAUGAAAGGGGCUUCGGCCUCGCCGGGGGAUGAGUCUGCGUAUGAUUAGCUAGUUGGUGGGGUAAAGGCCUACCAAGGCGACGAUCAUUAGCCGGCCUGAGAGGGUGACCGGCCACAUUGGGACUGAGACACGGCCCAGACUCCUACGGGAGGCAGCAGCUAAGAAUCUUCCGCAAUGGGCGCAAGCCUGACGGAGCGAUGCCGCGUGGAUGAAGA